Arachis ipaensis is the source of this 1228-nucleotide non-coding RNA. NCBI's taxonomy places the organism in Eukaryota, Viridiplantae, Streptophyta, Magnoliopsida, Fabales, Fabaceae. The record is from RefSeq and is a predicted model, not a curated record.
GCCUCUCAGCUCUCACCACCAACACUCUGAUCUCGUCGUUAUCGAAGAACCACUUCGUGCCUCUCACCACCAACACUCUGUUCUCACCACCACCACUUCGUGCCUCUCACAACCCAAAUACGUUUCGCCGUCGUCGCACCAACCACUCGAGAUCCAUCGGUGUCGCCACUCCAGAACCACAGCUCCUCUUCCACACUCACCGCUCCUCUUCCCCACUCGAUGCUAACCACUCGAGAGCCAUCAGUCGCUAGCAUUGGUAUUCAGCAUCGUCAGCUUUGGUUGUCAGCAUCGUCAGCACCAACCACUCGACGCUAACCCCAAAUACGUUUCGAUGCGUGCUCAAUUGCUCACAUUGCUCGUCAGCAUCGUCCUCCUGUCGCUCACCAUCAUGGUGGUGAAGACUACUACAUGUUCUGAAGACCAGGAGGAAGACCAAGGCGGAGAAGAAUCCAUUUCCAGCACUUGAUUAUCAGAUUACUUUAUUGCAAGCUGGAGAAGAAACAUGGUUUCUGAACUUGAGAUUCAACUUUUAUCUCAGUUAAAGUAAGUAAUCAAACAAGUUCUCCUGGUUCUGUUCACAUUGAUAAUUUGGAUAAGUUUGAGCAUUUUGAUGAUUUCACUAUAGCUUCUUCAUGGGAAAGGUUCAUUUCUAAAAUUGAGGCAAUUUGUCUUCUGUGGAUGGCUGAUGGUCCUAACAAUUUAUUGGUAUGCUUGUUUAAUUUCAAUUUAUUGGUAUGCUUUGCUCUGGAUUAAGUUAAAGGGUACUUCAUUUUGUACCUUUAUCUAUAUAUGCUAUACCUGCAUGCAAAUGGGCGUUGAAUUCUUUGGAUAUGCAUGGCUUAGUUAGCAUUUAAUUGGUUCAACAGUAUGGACUCUUGAAAUAUAUUAAAAAUAUAUAUGAUUUUUUUUCCUACCCAAUUGCAUAGGUAGUCAAAUAAUGCACACUUAGGAAAUAGUUUCUUUUUGAUUCCGUGGUUUAUUCUUCUUAAGUGACUUGCAUAAUACAUAUUAGUGUUUUACAUGUAGAAGAUCAAAGUUUGUGAGAUUGAGGGAUUGCCAAUAGACUAAAAUGUAUUCAUAGCUUCUCCUAACCUGAUCAAGCAUGGUGGGGCUACAGAUUUAAUAUGGUUUAAGGUAUCAAGCCCAUGAACUCCAAGGGAGAAGCUUACCAAAUAAUGCUAUCAACUUUUUUCCUGCAUGAUAAUGAUGAUGAUUAUUGCUAUUUUUA